GAUCAUGGCUCAGGAUGAACGCUAGCUACAGGCUUAACACAUGCAAGUCGAGGGGCAUCGGUUUGGUUUGCUUGCAAACCAAAGCUGGCGACCGGCGCACGGGUGAGUAACACGUAUCCAACCUGCCUCAUACUCGGGGAUGGCCUUUCGAAAGAAAGAUUAAUAUCCGAUAGCAUAUAUUUCCCGCAUGGGUUUUAUAUUAAAGAAAUUCGGUAUGAGAUGGGGAUGCGUUCCAUUAGUUUG
RNAcentral lists this ribosomal RNA (243 nucleotides) under uncultured bacterium. Its description in RNAcentral is "partial 16S ribosomal RNA". It matches the Rfam family "Bacterial small subunit ribosomal RNA", at positions 15 to 248 of the family's 1533-position model. The record is from RNAcentral.